CCUACGGGCGGCAGCAGUGAGGAAUAUUGGUCAAUGGCCGAGAGGCUGAACCAGCCAAGUCGCGUGAGGGAAGACGGCCCUACGGGUUGUAAACCUCUUUUGUCGGGGAGCAAAGCGAACCACGUGUGGUUCAUUGAGAGUACCCGAAGAAAAAGCAUCGGCUAACUCCGUGCCAGCAGCCGCGGUAAUACGGAGGAUGCGAGCGUUAUCCGGAUUUAUUGGGUUUAAAGGGUGCGUAGGCGGAUUGAUAAGUUAGAGGUGAAAUGUCCGAGCUUAACUCGGGAACUGCCUCUAAUACUGUUGAUCUAGAGAGUAGAUGCGGUAGGCGGAAUGUAUGGUGUAGCGGUGAAAUGCUUAGAGAUCAUACAGAACACCAAUUGCGAAGGCAGCUUACUAAACUGCCACUGACAUUGAUGCUCGAAAGUGUGGGUAUCAAACAGGAUUAGAUACCCGAGUAGUC
Molecule: ribosomal RNA, 460 nt
Filed under: uncultured bacterium
Lineage: Bacteria
Description: partial 16S ribosomal RNA
Rfam family: Bacterial small subunit ribosomal RNA
Source: RNAcentral